RNAcentral lists this ribosomal RNA (491 nucleotides) under uncultured bacterium. Its description in RNAcentral is "partial 16S ribosomal RNA". It matches the Rfam family "Bacterial small subunit ribosomal RNA", at positions 29 to 507 of the family's 1533-position model. The record is from RNAcentral.
AGUGAACGCUGGCGGUAGGCCUAACACAUGCAAGUCGAACGGCAGCACAGUAAGAGCUUGCUCUUACGGGUGGCGAGUGGCGGACGGGUGAGGAAUACAUCGGAAUCUACUUUUUCGUGGGGGAUAACGUAGGGAAACUUACGCUAAUACCGCAUACGACCUACGGGUGAAAGCAGGGGAUCUUCGGACCUUGCGCGAUUGAAUGAGCCGAUGUCGGAUUAGCUAGUUGGCGGGGUAAAGGCCCACCAAGGCGACGAUCCGUAGCUGGUCUGAGAGUAUGAUCAGCAAAAUGGGAACUGAAACACGGUCCAGACCCCUACGGGAGGCAGCAGUGGGAAAUAUUGGACAAGGGCGCAAGCCUGAUCCAGCCAUACCGCGUGGGUGAAGAAGGCCUUCGGGUUGUAAAGCCCUUUUGUUGGGAAAGAAAAGCAGCAGGUUAAUACCCCGCUGUUCUGACGGUACCCAAAGAAUAAGCACCGGCUAACUUCGUG